GAAGCGGGAAGAGCUCAAAUUUAUAAUCUGGCACCUUCGGUGUCCGAGUUGUAAUCUCUAGAAAUGUUUUCCGCGUUGGACCGCACACAAGUCUGUUGGAAUACAGCGGCAUAGUGGUGAGACCCCCGUAUAUGGUGCGGACGCCCAGCGCUUUGUGAUACAUUUUCGAAGAGUCGAGUUGUUUGGGAAUGCAGCUCAAAUUGGGUGGUAAAUUCCAUCUAAAGCUAAAUAUUGGCGAGAGACCGAUAGCGAACAAGUACCGUGAGGGAAAGAUGAAAAGCACUUUGGAAAGAGAGUUAACAGUACGUGAAAUUGUUGGAAGGGAAACGCUUGAAGUCAGACUUGCUUGCCGAGCAAUCGGUUUGCAGGCCAGCAUCAGUUUUCCGGGAUGGAUAAUGGUAGAGAGAAGGUAGCAGUUUCGGCUGUGUUAUAGCUCUCUGCUGGAUACAUCUUGGGGGACUGAGGAACGCAGUGUGCCUUUGGCGGGGGUUUCGACCUCUUCACACUUAGGAUGCUGGUGGAAUGGCUUUAAACGACCCGUCUUGA
This 546-nucleotide ribosomal RNA is filed under the name Rhodotorula mucilaginosa. RNAcentral describes it as "partial large subunit ribosomal RNA". It matches the Rfam family "Eukaryotic large subunit ribosomal RNA", at positions 95 to 657 of the family's 3401-position model. The record is from RNAcentral. Lineage: Eukaryota; Fungi; Basidiomycota; Microbotryomycetes; Sporidiobolales; Sporidiobolaceae.